GAAAUGGAUAUGGCCCGCGACACGGCUGUCCGAAAUGGAUAUGGCCCGCAGGCCGAAAAAGGUUGGGCAUCACUGUUGUAAGGUAUAAAAAGAAAAUGUAACAAUAUUUAAAAAUGCACAACAGCUUAAAAACAUUGAGGUUUGAUUCUACAAUAGGAAAGCUUAACUCUGUAUGACAUUACUUUUGUAUGCCAUUUAGAAGGUAGCUUGGUACACAUUUUUUUUUCCUAGAGUUUAAAUAGUUUUCGUAUGCUUUCAGUUUUGUUGACCUCCUUCUGUGCAUGAUGAUAUUUGUAUGUAAAUAUAUCUGAAAUGGAAGGGUGGUGAUUCCUUAGGAUUGUGGAAUUGGGAACAUAUGUGUUAAUCAUAUAUCGACAACGACAAUGUCGACGUGGUUCUGCAAUCGAAGGGCCAAGUGGCGGCGGAAGAGAAGAGCUACCUAUGCCGCCAGAAAAAACUCAAAAUAAGAAUUAGAAGUUGGCCCGCGAAACAGGAUCGCUUUCUUAUUCAAUAUAUAUAUAUAUUGAACGUACGUAUAUUUGUAUUCAAAAGACGAAAAGAAUCGCCAUUUUAUAUGAAUGUUAUAAUUAUGCAGCUAAUAUUCUUUGGUUUCUAUCCUGCCAAAUCCCACCUAUCCUUCGUUAUAAAAAUAUAUAAAUAUUCAUUAUCAUCAUCAUCACUACUGGUAUCUUUUCAGGAUGCAGUUCAUAUGGAGAGUGUUUCGUUACGCAGCCAAAUGGGCAUUGACAUGGCUGGAGCUCCAGUCACCAGAGCAGGAGAAUUCACGCCCACCUCCUAGACACAUUAAUUAAGUCUUUUUUAAAUUAUUUGCAGAUAAACAUAGAUGAGCCAUCUCCCGGGGGUAGUGAUCCUCCCCUCCCCAAGGGGGGAAAAAGAAUCAAAAGAAGGAUGAAAUCAAACACUUUUUUAAGUUGAAGAAAUCUCUCAUCAACUGUCUGCCUGUGGAGAUAGGGAUCUCUGUUUUCUGCUUUCUUUGUGACAGUUUUAUUUUGGUAGUCUUCUUUUCUACUCUGCUUGUCUUCCAUAAAUCAUUCGUGUGUUAUAUGGGUGUUCUUAUAAUAGUAGGUUGAAAUAUGCACAUGUAUAAUGUCUUCUUUUUUUUAAAAGUUUGAAGUACAAGCCAAGUGCACAAUUUUUUCUUUAGGAUCAGGUUAAGUUAAUUUAAUGUACCCCCACACACAUAUGCAUGCCUAGACACAUUAAUUAAGUCUUUUUUUAAUUAUUUGCAGACCGAUACCAACGAGCCACAUGAAGCCAGAAGGCGCCGUCGACUGCGGCCAUGGCAGAUACAACUGCUGGAUGUUAGCUACAAGAAGUCGCAAUACCCAUCGCAUGUCACAGUGGUGACAUUAAGUCGCAGAACGCACGUCAAAGUGCAGAAGAUUUACGUAAGCACAGUAAACAGUUAUAAUACCUAGUCCACUAUUAAACAGUCCUGACUUCAGAGUUUCUGUAAUAUGAUUUUUUUUACAUGGUGGGGUUGUUAGCCCUACCACAACCUAUUUUACCUCUAGGUGAGGUGUCCACCUUAGUCGCCUCUUACUGGCUGGAUGGCAGGGACCCUAUUCUUACAAUGCUUGCUAGGCAAGCAUACCCCAGGGUCCCACAGGGAGCCUGACCAGAGACACGUAUUAACAUUGUUGUUCUUCCUUCCAGAGAUGGUAUAUCAAUAGGCGCGCUCAGCAGCGUCGUGCGCAACAUCGCCCUCAACGUCGCCGUCGCCCUCAUCAGCGCCGUCGCCCACCUCGGCCUUGAGAACCACCAGCCAGAAGAAGGAGAGCAAGAAGAAUGAAACCGUGGCAAAAGAAGCUUUUGGAAAAGAGUUUCAAUGCAACCAAAUUUCCAUCGAUUUCAACAUUAAAGAAGCUUUCCAGAAGGACAAGACUAUCCACAAAACGGAUCGAGAGGUGGUUUGCGAACAAGCGGGCACAGGUACGGCGCCGACAGAGGCAAUAAGGAUGCAGUUCAUAUGGAGAGUGUUUCGUUACGCAGCCAAAUGGGCAUUGACAUGGCUGGAGCUCCAGUCACCAGAGCAGGAGAAUUCACGCCCACCUCCUAGACACAUUAAUUAAGUCUUUUUUAAAUUAUUUGCAGAUAAACAUAGAUGAGCCAUCUCCCGGGGGUAGUGAU
This is a long non-coding RNA of Pomacea canaliculata, 2151 nucleotides long. RefSeq lists it as uncharacterized. The transcript is spliced from 4 exons. NCBI's taxonomy places the organism in Eukaryota, Metazoa, Mollusca, Gastropoda, Architaenioglossa, Ampullariidae. The record is from RefSeq and is a predicted model, not a curated record.